AGCUUUGCGCAGUGGUGAUAUCAUAACCAAUGAGGUUUUACCGAGGUGCGAUUAUUGCUAGUUGGAAAAAAAAGUCGAGUUUCGUUGAAAGGAAGUACCACUUGCGGAAGUUUAGAUUUUCUGUUUCCACUGGUAGA
Small nuclear RNA from Toxorhynchites rutilus septentrionalis, 137 nucleotides. RefSeq annotates it as U4 spliceosomal RNA. The record is from RefSeq and is a predicted model, not a curated record. NCBI's taxonomy places the organism in Eukaryota, Metazoa, Arthropoda, Insecta, Diptera, Culicidae. The transcript has a single exon.